UGCCAGCCGCCGCGGUAAUACGGAGGGUGCAAACGUUAAUCGGAAUUACUGGGCGUAAAGCGCGCGUAGGCGGUCUGAUAAGUGGGGUGUGAAAGCCCAGGGCUUAACCUUGGAACUGCAUUCCAAACUGUCAGGCUAGAGUAUGGUAGAGGGAGGUAGAAUUUCCUGUGUAGCGGUGAAAUGCGUAGAUAUAGGAAGGAAUACCGAUGGCGAAGGCAGCCUCCUGGACCAAUACUGACGCUGAGGUGCGAAAGCGUGGGGAGCAAACAGGAUUAGAUA
RNAcentral lists this ribosomal RNA (279 nucleotides) under uncultured bacterium. RNAcentral's name for it is "partial 16S ribosomal RNA". It matches the Rfam family "Bacterial small subunit ribosomal RNA", at positions 506 to 784 of the family's 1533-position model. The record is from RNAcentral.